CCGUAAACAAUGAGUGCUAGCUGUUGGGUGGUUUACCAUUCGGUGGCGCAGCUAACGCAUUCAGCACUCCGGCUGGGGAGUGCGGUCGCAUGAUUAAUACUCAGAGGAAUUGACGGGGGCCCGCACAAGCGGAGGAGCGUGGGUGUUUAAUUCUGAUGCAACGCGCAAAACCUUACCACCCCUUGACGUGUAUAAGACGAUAUCAGAUAUGGUAUUUUCUUUUCAGAGACCUUUACACGGGCUCUGCGUGGGUGUCCUCAGCGCGUGUCGUGAGAUGGUGGGUUAAGUCCCGCAACGAGCGCAACCCCUGCCUCUAUUUGCUAUCAAGUUUAUGUUUUUACCUAUAUGUUGGGUACUAUAUAGGCACUGCCGGAGAUAAGCCAGAAGAGGGUGGAGAUGACGUCGAGUCCUCGUGGCCCUUAUGGGCGGGGCUACACACGUGCUACUGUGGUGGUUACUGUGGGUUGCGAACUCGCGAGGCAGAUCUAAUCCCCAAAAGCCAUCUCAGUUCAGAUUGCACUCUGCAUCUCGAGUGCGAGAACUCAGACUCUCUAGUACUCGCAGAUCAGCGUGCCGCGGUGAAUACGUUCUCGGGCCUUGUACACACCGCCCGUCACACCGUGAGAGUUGGUUUUGCCUGAACACUGUGUGCUAACCGCAGGGAGGCAGCCGGCCACGGUAGGGUCAGCGACUGGUGUGAACUCAUAACAGGGUAACC
Molecule: ribosomal RNA, 718 nt
Filed under: uncultured Candidatus Liberibacter sp.
Lineage: Bacteria; Pseudomonadati; Pseudomonadota; Alphaproteobacteria; Hyphomicrobiales; Rhizobiaceae
Description: bacterial SSU rRNA
Rfam family: Bacterial small subunit ribosomal RNA
Source: RNAcentral